CUUUACUCCUACCCGGAGGCAGCAGUGGGGAAUAUUGCACAAUGGGCGCAAGCCUGAUGCAGCGACGCCGCGUGAGGGAUGACGGCCUUCGGGUUGUAAACCUCUUUCAGUAGGGAAGAAGCGUAAGUGACGGUACCUGCAGAAGAAGCGCCGGCUAACUACGUGCCAGCAGCCGCGGUAAUACGUAGGGCGCAAGCGUUAUCCGGAAUUAUUGGGCGUAAAGAGCUCGUAGGCGGUUUGUCGCGUCUGCCGUGAAAGUCCGGGGCUCAACUCCGGAUCUGCGGUGGGUACGGGCAGACUAGAGUGAUGUAGGGGAGACUGGAAUUCCUGGUGUAGCGGUGAAAUGCGCAGAUAUCAGGAGGAACACCGAUGGCGAAGGCAGGUCUCUGGGCAUUAACUGACGCUGAGGAGCGAAAGCAUGGGGAGCGAACAGGAUUAGAUACCCUGGUAGUCCAUGCCGUAAACGUUGGGCACUAGGUGUGGGGGACAUUCCACGUUUUCCGCGCCGUAGCUAACGCAUUAAGUGCCCCGCCUGGGGAGUACGGCCGCAAGGCUAAAACUCAAAGGAAUUGACGGGGGCCCGCACAAGCGGCGGAGCAUGCGGAUUAAUUCGAUGCAACGCGAAGAACCUUACCAAGGCUUGACAUGGACCGGACCGCCGCAGAAAUGUGUUUCCCCCCUGU
Molecule: ribosomal RNA, 683 nt
Filed under: Arthrobacter sp.
Lineage: Bacteria; Bacillati; Actinomycetota; Actinomycetes; Micrococcales; Micrococcaceae
Description: bacterial SSU rRNA
Rfam family: Bacterial small subunit ribosomal RNA
Source: RNAcentral